GCUGUUGGUAUUCUUGUGAGAGUAAAAAGGGAAACUUAAAUCAGUGCUAUUUUUCUUGAUGGCUCCAUGGAUCCAAAAGCCCACUGAAGUCAAUAAGAUUUUGUCUUUAGCAGAAAUGUUGCAUUGUUACCCUUAUAUUAUCUCUGUGGGAAGGACUGCUGUGAGGAUUAACUGCAAUGAGGAUUAACGACAACGAGACUGGAAAUAUUUCAUAUAUAGUAGCUCAAAAAAAUCAUUUCUAGAAUAACAUUGUCAUUUUGUCCUUGCAUAGAAUAUUUGCAGAUAAAUCUUUUUUUUUUUUUUUAAUGUACAACAGCCCAAACCAUAACUAUUGUCAUAGCAACAUUUUCCAGAAAGCUCUUAGUUUAGGGUAAUUAGAUAUUUAUUAAAUAUGACAGUCAUCUCUUAACAUACACAGGCAAGAGAGAAUAUCUGAAUUUAGAGGAUUAGACUCAAGAAGAGGAAACUACACCUCAAAAAAGAAUAGAAGGUAGAAGAAAAGACAUUUAACCUGGGUUUAAACCAACAUUCUCAAUGUAAUCAACCAUGUCAAAAGAGAAGUAAAUUCUCAUUUUUUAAAUCUAGAAACAUGUCAACGUUACUGCUCAUAUGUUAAAUCAUAUAUUUGAUCUUUUUCUGCUUUUGAAAAAAGUGUUUUGCUUUACCACUAUACAAUUUUUCUUCCCCUUUUCCAUUUUCUUUUAUUUAUUCACCAAGUACCAAAUAAGGCACUGCAGAGUCAGAACUGAAUUCUGAAGGUUUUUAGAAGGGGCCUCAGUCCAAUAAGAAGGCCAAUAUAUAUAAACCUACUUCCUGAGUGAGGACAUACACAUUGUGACCUACUUUUUGCCAUAGUUUUUACUUCUGGUUAUUUUACUUUGUUUCUAAUGCCCUAUUUAAAAAAAAAAAAAACAAAUCUAAUUCAAUUUUGUUUAUAUUAGAAAAUAAA
Long non-coding RNA from Canis lupus familiaris (dog), 949 nucleotides. RefSeq lists it as uncharacterized. The transcript has 2 exons. The record is from RefSeq and is a predicted model, not a curated record. Lineage: Eukaryota; Metazoa; Chordata; Mammalia; Carnivora; Canidae.